This 253-nucleotide ribosomal RNA is filed under the name uncultured bacterium. Its description in RNAcentral is "partial 16S ribosomal RNA". It matches the Rfam family "Bacterial small subunit ribosomal RNA", at positions 524 to 776 of the family's 1533-position model. The record is from RNAcentral.
CACGUAGGGCGCAAGCGUUGUCCGGAAUUAUUGGGCGUAAAGAGCUCGUAGGUGGUUUGUUACGUCUGCUGUGAAAUCCUAGGGCUUAACCCUGGGCUUGCAGUGGAUACGGGCAGACUAGAGGUAGGUAGGGGAGAAUGGAAUUCCUGGUGUAGCGGUGAAAUGCGCAGAUAUCAGGAGGAACACCGGUGGCGAAGGCGGUUCUCUGGGCCUUACCUGACACUGAGGAGCGAAAGCGUGGGGAGCAAACAGG